AGUUGGUGUGUGUCUGUGUGUGUGUGUGUGUGUACACACACACACACACACACACACACACUGGCCUG
Non-coding RNA from Podarcis lilfordi (Lilford's wall lizard), 68 nucleotides. The record is from the annotation of a GenBank genome assembly. NCBI's taxonomy places the organism in Eukaryota, Metazoa, Chordata, Lepidosauria, Squamata, Lacertidae.